Drosophila sulfurigaster albostrigata is the source of this 532-nucleotide long non-coding RNA. RefSeq lists it as uncharacterized. The transcript has 2 exons. NCBI's taxonomy places the organism in Eukaryota, Metazoa, Arthropoda, Insecta, Diptera, Drosophilidae. The record is from RefSeq and is a predicted model, not a curated record.
CUUCAACUGUAGAAAGCUGAAAAUCCUUUACAAUUGUCGACAAUAAUUUGCUGCUUUACAUUUUAAAACAAUUUCCAUUUUCUGUGUUUUGGGUAAAUUGUAAUGUGGCCUCUGGGAAAACAAAGUUGUGUGCCUUUUGACCAUCGUGUAGCAUAAAGUGCUCUGCUCUACCCGUAUCACAUGUGAAAUGCAAAUAAAAAGCAAAUAAUCAAAAAAUAUGAAUAAUCAUAAUAACCGUAAUAAUAAUAAUGCUGAAUGUUGAAUGCUGAAUGCUGAAUGCUGAGUCUGAGUCGCAUUCUGUUAUCGAAGCUGAAGCUGAAGCUGUGCCUGAACCCAGGCAUUGUCCUCUGCAUUCGUUUGCAUGUUCUAACACGCUUUGUUACCUCCGAAUAACAAGAGAGGUGAAAGACAGAAAAAGCUGAAAUGGAACCUGAAAGGUGGAAUAACAGGUAACUGCCAAGCUCCAGAGGGCAAUGAAUACAAUCAACAAAAAGUGUAAACAAUAAGCUAAACAACAACAACAACAGCAGCA